GAUGAACGCUAGCUACAGGCUUAACACAUGCAAGUCGCGGGGCAGCAUGGGGGUUGCUUGCAAUCCCCGAUGGCGACCGGCGCACGGGUGAGUAACGCGUAUCCAACCUGCCCUUCACCACGGGAUAACCCGGCGAAAGUCGGACUAAUACCGUAUGUUGUCCAUUGACGGCAUCCGAUUUGGACGAAAGGCUUGGCGGUGAGGGAUGGGGAUGCGUCCGAUUAGCCAGACGGCGGGGUAACGGCCCACCGUGGCUACGAUCGGUAGGGGUGCUGAGAGGAAGGUCCCCCACACUGGAACUGAGACACGGUCCAGACUCCUACGGGAGGCAGCAGUGAGGAAUAUUGAUCAAUGGGCGUAAGCCUGAACCAGACAAGUAGCGUGCAGGAUGACGGCCAUAUGGGUUGUAAACUGCUUUUAUGCGGGGAUAAAGUGGCCCACGUGUGGGCUUUUGCAGGUACCGCAUGAAUAAGGACCGGCUAAUUCCGUG
Molecule: ribosomal RNA, 490 nt
Filed under: uncultured bacterium
Lineage: Bacteria
Description: partial 16S ribosomal RNA
Rfam family: Bacterial small subunit ribosomal RNA
Source: RNAcentral